Molecule: ribosomal RNA, 829 nt
Filed under: uncultured archaeon
Lineage: Archaea
Description: bacterial SSU rRNA
Rfam family: Archaeal small subunit ribosomal RNA
Source: RNAcentral
UGAUUAAGCCAUGCAAGUCGAGAGGGUUCGGCCCUCGGCGUACUGCUCAGUAACACGUGGAUAACCUGCCCUAGGGAAGGGGAUAACCCCGGGAAACUGGGGAUAAUACCCUAUAGAUUACAGAUGCUGGAAUGCCCUGUAAUCCAAAGUUCCGACGCCCUAGGAUGGAUCUGCGGCCGAUUAGGUUGUUGUUGGGGUAAUGGCCCAACAAGCCCGUAAUCGGUACGGGUUGUGGGAGCAAGAGCCCGGAGUUGGAUUCUGAGACACGAAUCCAGGCCCUACGGGGCGCAGCAGGCGCGAAAACUUUACAAUGCGGGCAACCGUGAUAAGGGAACCUCGAGUGCCUGUAAAUGCAGGCUGUUCAGGUGCCUAAAACACACCUGAAGAAAGGGCCGGGCAAGACCGGUGCCAGCCGCCGCGGUAAUACCGGCGGCUCGAGUGGUGGCCGCUUUUAUUGGGCUUAAAUCGUUCGUAGCUGGGUUGUUAAGUCUCUUGGGAAAUCUGGCGGCUUAACCGUCAGGCGUCUAAGGGAUACUGGCAAUCUUGGAACCGGGAGAGGUGAGGGGUACUUCGGGGGUAGGAGUGAAAUCCUGUAAUCCUCGAGGGACCACCUGUGGCGAAGGCGCCUCACCAGAACGGCUUCGACAGUGAGGGACGAAAGCUGGGGGAGCAAACCGGAUUAGAUACCCGGGUAGUCCCAGCCGUAAACUAUGCGCGUUAGGUGUAUUGGUGACCACGAGUUACCGAGGUGCCGAAGGGAAACCGUGAAACGUGCCGCCUGGGAAUUACGGUCGCAAGGCUGAAACUUAAAGGAAUUGGCGGGGGAGCA